Molecule: unclassified non-coding RNA, 394 nt
Filed under: soil metagenome
Description: partial contains 5.8S ribosomal RNA, internal transcribed spacer 2, and large subunit ribosomal RNA
Rfam family: 5.8S ribosomal RNA (bases 1-120)
Source: RNAcentral
GAUGAAGAACGUAGCGAAAUGCGAUAAGUAAUGUGAAUUGCAGAAUUCAGUGAAUCAUCGAAUCUUUGAACGCAUCUUGCGCUCCUUGGUAUUCCGAGGAGCAUGCCUGUUUGAGUGUCAUUUAACUUCUCAACCCACAUCCAGAUAUUUCUGAUGUUGGCUUGGAUAUGGGGGUUGUUUGCAGGCUUUCUCUUGAAGAAUGUCGGCUCCCCUGAAAUGUAUUAGUGGUAUCUGAGGCUAUUGCUAUAGGUGUGAUAAUUAUCUAUGCCUUUUGGUAUGCCGCAUAAAAACAGAUUACACUGCUUCUACUCCCAAAACAUUUAUUUGUUGACGAAUUUGACCUCAAAUCAGGUAGGACUACCCGCUGAACUUAAGCAUAUCAAUAAGCGGAGGA